AUAAACAAUUAACCAUUAGUAUAUAGAUUUUAGAACCAAUUAAAAAGAACAAAAGAAGAGAAAAAAAAGAAAAAAGAAAUAGGAACUAUACCAAUGGUAAUAUACUUUCUCUAUUCAAUUAAAGCUAUUCUUGUCACCCCUUUCCAUUACACUUUUGUCAUAAGAUUCUAUGAGGAGUAAAAAGUCAUCUUUAUAAACUUCCUUCACCAUCUCUAAUUUGCUGCAAGAAAAAAAGAGAGAAUGUAG
Molecule: long non-coding RNA, 246 nt
Filed under: Cucumis sativus (cucumber)
Lineage: Eukaryota; Viridiplantae; Streptophyta; Magnoliopsida; Cucurbitales; Cucurbitaceae
Description: long non-coding RNA (CSAT_LNC000545)
Source: RNAcentral